This 253-nucleotide ribosomal RNA is filed under the name uncultured prokaryote. RNAcentral describes it as "partial 16S ribosomal RNA". It matches the Rfam family "Bacterial small subunit ribosomal RNA", at positions 525 to 777 of the family's 1533-position model. The record is from RNAcentral.
ACGUAGGGUGCGAGCGUUAAUCGGAAUUACUGGGCGUAAAGCGUGCGCAGGCGGUUCGUUGUGUCGGUGGUGAAAGCCCCGGGCUCAACCUGGGAAUGGCCAUGGAAACUGGCGAACUGGAGUGUGGCAGAGGGGGGUGGAAUUCCGCGUGUAGCAGUGAAAUGCGUAGAUAUGUGGAGGAAUACCGAUGGCGAAGGCAGCCCCCUGGGAUAACACUGACGCUCAUGCACGAAAGCGUGGGGAGCAAACAGGA